GGACGAACGCUGGCGGCGUGCCUAACACAUGCAAGUCAACUUGACUGAAGGAGCAAUCUGACAGUAGAGUGGCGCAAGGGUGCGUAACGCGUAAGUAACUUGCCCAAGGUAAGGAAUAACGUCGAGAAAUCGGCGCUAAUACCUCAUAAUGCAGCGGAUCCGCAUGGAUAUGUUGUUAAAGGUUUACCGCCUUGGGAUAGGCUUGCGUCUGAUUAGCUAGUUGGUGUGGUAACGGCACACCAAGGCUACGAUCAGUAACUGGUCUGAGAGGAUGAUCAGUCACACUGGAACUGAGACACGGUCCAGACUCCUACGGGAGGCAGCAGUGAGGAAUAUUGGGCAAUGCUCGAAAGAGUGACCCAGCAACGCCGCGUGGAGGAUGAAGGUAUUCUAUAUCGUAAACUCCUGUGAGAGCAGACGAAAGACAGAUUAUUAAUCUGGAUGACUGUAUGCUCAGAGGAAGCCCCGGCUAACUGCGUG
This 480-nucleotide ribosomal RNA is filed under the name uncultured bacterium. RNAcentral describes it as "bacterial SSU rRNA". It matches the Rfam family "Bacterial small subunit ribosomal RNA", at positions 27 to 507 of the family's 1533-position model. The record is from RNAcentral.